GACGAACGCUGGCGGCGUGCCUAAUACAUGCAAGUCGAACGCAGUGGGGACGGGUGAGUAACACGUGGGUAACCUCCCAUCAGAGGGGAUAACCCUUGGAAACAGGUGCUAAACCGAUACUGAUGGAUGGGCCCGCGGUGCAUUAGCUAGUUGGUGAGGUAACGGCUCACCAAGGCCACGAUGCAUAGCCGACCUGGGAGGGUGAGCGGCAACACUGGAACUGAGACACGGCCCAGACGCCUACGGGAGGCAGCAGUAGGGAAUCUUGGGCAAUGGGCGCAAGUCUGACCGAGCAAUGCCGCGUGUGUGAAGAAGGUUUUCGGAUCGUAAAGCUCUGUUGGUAGAGAAGCGGUAUCUAACCAGAAAGCCACGGCUAACUCCGUGCCAGCAGCCGCGGUAAUAC
This 403-nucleotide ribosomal RNA is filed under the name uncultured bacterium. RNAcentral describes it as "partial 16S ribosomal RNA". It matches the Rfam family "Bacterial small subunit ribosomal RNA", at positions 28 to 526 of the family's 1533-position model. The record is from RNAcentral.